Molecule: long non-coding RNA, 1755 nt
Organism: Astatotilapia calliptera (eastern happy)
Lineage: Eukaryota; Metazoa; Chordata; Actinopteri; Cichliformes; Cichlidae
Source: Ensembl
UUCCAUUUUGUUGCAGUUAUUGUCAUUAUCACCUUGAGAUAAAUUUUUCUUCAGGCUCAAACAAAACCAAGUAAUCAGAGUCAGGUACAAAGGCUUUAACUGCUUGAACUCUGGACCCUUUCAAAGCUUGUUUGAAUUGCUGCUUGCACCUCCCUGCUCCUUAAAACAGACUGCAAACUGCCUUCGUGCCAAAACUCAAGACUGCAAUGGCAACACCAGAUGUGGAUUAAAACCACAGCUUAAUGUAAAGAUACUACAGUGCACGGAUAAGGUAUGUGUUGAGAAUGGUACCGUUUGUACAGAAAUCCUUAUUGUUGUUCAUGUGCAUAAAUGCAGUUUGGUAUAUGUGUGAGAACUGAAACAUCAAAGUUUGGGUCUUCUCUUAUAUUACUGAAUACAGUAACAAUUCAUUUAAAGCUUUGAUUACUUUUUUGCUUUGGGGGUCAGCACUAUUGUAAGAAGUUAUGAGCUCAGCUCAGCAGCUGCUCCGUUCUCAGAGAGACUUAUUGCUGAAGUGGACAUGUGACCAUCCAGCGCCCUUGCUGCGUUGGCUCCGUGAUGCCGAGGUGCUUUCGUCUGCCUGCUACCUGUCUUUGCUGGAGAGGUCGCCUUCCAAUGCUGUGGCAAAGGCACUGGAGACAGUGUGUGCCACAGAGGACAGCAGCCAAAAGUUCCUGCAGGUGUUGAGGGAAGUGCAGGAUUACUACUGCAGAGACCUGCAGGUCUGGGUCGAGAGACACUGCAGGAACGAUGCAGUCACUAAAUCAGCACCUACAUCUGUGAAAGUUGAAGGUGAGGCUGCUUUAAUGUGCUGGUUUUUACAUAAACAGGUGUAACUGAAGUUAAUCUUCUUUGCAACCUUGAGCUGAUCGUGAGGGGCUGUUAAUAGAAGACAACUUUUACAACCUAUUGAGGAAAGACAUGAAAGAAGAUUAGAUGCAGGGUACAAUCAGCUUUGAUGCCUCGCCAGGAUUUUUUUUUUUUUUUUUUUUUUUACUUUGGUGAGAGUUUUAAGAGAUAAUGGACAUUGAGCUCAACUAUCAUAAGUUAAAAUGUGUCAGUGAUUUGGAUAUUUGGAUCAGGUAUUCAUAGUUCCCUGAUGAUGAGACUCAGGGAUAUGAAAAUGCUCAGUCAGCAGAGUCACCUGUGAAUCUGACAUUUUAAACAAAUGCAUAUAAAAUAACUAUAAAUUAUUCUAUGAUUUCAACAGACAAGAAGUCCAAAAACCCCAUUGCUAAACUGUUUAAAGCAAAGAGCAAAGGAUUCACCCUCACCACUGACGUUAAUGGUAUGAAUUCAUUGUUUCAUCAAAAAAAAUGUUUACAUAUGAAUUAUAUAGUAGUGUACGUUAUUUCUGGUAUGUUUUCUUUAUAGAGAUAAGCAAUAAAUGUUGUCCUGUUUUUUUAAAUUUAUAAUUCCUGGUUUCAUUUUUUGCUGUAUAUGGAAUAUGUGUAUGAAUUUGAAUGUAUGCCUUGAUUUACCGUUAUACUGUAAAAAAGGGUUAUUCUGAACUGUUAAUCACACAAACUUCUCUACUUGAGUCUAUAAAAAAAUGUAUAUAGAGCUGGAAAUGGACAUAAUCAGUCAAUUUAAAAUGUAAACUGACAUUAGGCAAAUGCAAUUUUUCGUGAUUUGAUUCCUGUGCUUGCAAUCAAGUAAGGAGAUCUGACUUUCAUAUUGCAGCUAAGGAAGAGCCAAAAUCUUGCAGAAGUCUAAAGUUGGCCAGCAUCCGAGGUAGGAUGAAAACAGGUCAAC